RNAcentral lists this unclassified non-coding RNA (366 nucleotides) under soil metagenome. RNAcentral describes it as "partial contains 5.8S ribosomal RNA, internal transcribed spacer 2, and large subunit ribosomal RNA". The stretch from base 1 to 120 matches the Rfam family "5.8S ribosomal RNA", at positions 35 to 154 of the family's 154-position model. The record is from RNAcentral.
GAUGAAGAACGCAGUGAAUUGCGAUAAGUAAUGUGAAUUGCAGAAUUCCGUGAAUCAUCGAAUCUUUGAACGCAAAUUGCACUCUCUGGUAUCCCGGAGAGUAUGCCUGUUUGAGGGUCGGUAAAAUGAAAUAUCGAUGUGUUGCUUUUUUUGCAACAUUUCGGAAUUGGGUUAACUUGAUCCUCUCAAGUGACCUAAAAUUCAUUACUUCGGUAUGAUUAACGUAUUUAAUUAUUUCGUUUUGAAUGCCGAAAAUUAUUAGAUGUGACUAUUUAACAAUAGCAUCACCUCCAUAAUUCUUUUGAAUUUCGACCUCAAAUCAGGUAAGAGUACCCGCUGAACUUAAGCAUAUCAAUAAGCGGAGGA